UACGUAGGGACCGAGCGUCGUCCGGAUUCAUUGGGCGUAAAGAGCUCGUAGGCGGCUGCUCAAGUCGAAUGUGAAAACUCGAGGCUCAACCUCGAGCCUGCAUUCGAUACUGGGCGGCUAGAGUCUGGUAGGGGGAUCUGGAAUUCCUGGUGUAGCGGUGGAAUGCGCAGAUAUCAGGAGGAACACCGGUGGCGAAGGCGGGAUCCUGGGCCAGUACUGACGCUGAGGAGCGAAAGCGUGGGGAGCAAACAGG
This 253-nucleotide ribosomal RNA is filed under the name uncultured bacterium. RNAcentral describes it as "partial 16S ribosomal RNA". It matches the Rfam family "Bacterial small subunit ribosomal RNA", at positions 524 to 776 of the family's 1533-position model. The record is from RNAcentral.